Mugil cephalus (flathead mullet) is the source of this 130-nucleotide long non-coding RNA. RefSeq lists it as uncharacterized. The transcript has 3 exons. The record is from RefSeq and is a predicted model, not a curated record. NCBI's taxonomy places the organism in Eukaryota, Metazoa, Chordata, Actinopteri, Mugiliformes, Mugilidae.
AAGAAAACACAGAUGAAAGAAAACACUGAACUGAAUUUAAACUCUGCAGUGACUCAGUCUGGUCCAGAAACCAGUCAGGACACGGCUCAACCUGAGGAUGGUGUUUGCUACGCCUCCAUCAGCUACAGCA